RNAcentral lists this non-coding RNA (24 nucleotides) under Mus musculus (house mouse). Lineage: Eukaryota; Metazoa; Chordata; Mammalia; Rodentia; Muridae. The record is from RNAcentral.
UGGAAGCAGUCUGAUGACACCUCC